Non-coding RNA from Corylus avellana, 654 nucleotides. The record is from RefSeq and is a predicted model, not a curated record. Lineage: Eukaryota; Viridiplantae; Streptophyta; Magnoliopsida; Fagales; Betulaceae.
UGCCAUGAUGCCAGAUGGACAUGAUGAGCCAUACAAAACAACAUCUUUCUCCAUCCUUGUUUAAAUUCUUCCCCCAUUCACUCACUCAGAUCACCCUCUGAGAACUCUUGAUUCAUCUCUUCUUCAUGCAUGGUUUGGGGAGCAGAAAAUCAUAUUGGUAAAAGGGUAGAUCAGUUUGAAGAUUGAAGAAGUUUUGCAGGGGUGGAUCAACAACGGCAGAAGGUUGCAGAGAGGGGCUUUUGAAGAAGAAGACUUACUAUGAGAAUUGUCCUGGCUGUAAAGUAGACCAAUAUAAAGAGUUGCAACGAGGUUUACCCAUCAGAGAGCUUGUUUCCACAUGGAUUGUUGUGCUUUGUACUGGAGCAUCCAUACUUGAACAGGCCAUGGUUCAAAUUACAUCCAUGUGGGACAUGUGAGUGGAUGAAGCUGCUUUUUCAUGUUGAUGUUUCUGUGGCUAAAAAUGGAGUGACGAUUGAACUCUAUCUGCUUUCAUGGCUCUCAGUCGUUGGGCAAGUGGUUGGUCUUAGAAUUCCUCUUGAAAUGCUGAAUCAGCUAUAAUGACUUGUUGAUAACAGUUUCUUUGAUAAUAUCUGCACAUGAUUUCUUUUUUCUACAUUCUACUAAAUGAACAUACUGGAAAUCCCCUUUAUUGCA